GACGAACCGUGCGAACGUUAUUCGGAAUCACUGGGCUUAAAGCGCGUGUAGGCGGGACGGCACGGCGGUCGCUGAAAGCCCCCGGCUCAACCGGGGAACGGGCGCCGAUACGACCGUCCUGGAGGGACGUAGGGGGACCUGGAACUUCCGGUGGAGCGGUGAAAUGCGUUGAGAUCGGAAAGGACACCAACGGCGAAAGCACUCUGCUGGGCCGACACUGACACUGAGAGACGAAAGCUAGGGGAGCAAAUGGG
Molecule: ribosomal RNA, 254 nt
Filed under: uncultured bacterium
Lineage: Bacteria
Description: partial 16S ribosomal RNA
Rfam family: Bacterial small subunit ribosomal RNA
Source: RNAcentral